GAUGAACGCUGGCGGCGUGCCUAACACAUGCAAGUCGAACGGAGACCAGCCUUAGAGACCUUCGGGUCAAAGAGGGGAAGACUGAGUGGCGGACGGGUGAGUAACACGUGGGCAACCUGGCUCAUAGAGGGGGAUAACAGAGAGAAAUUUCUGCUAAUACCGCAUAAGCACACACUGCCGCAUGGCAGAGUGUGAAAAGAGAAUCGCUAUGAGAUGGACCCGCGUCUGAUUAGCCAGUUGGCAGGGUAAGAGCCUACCAAAGCGACGAUCAGUAGCCGAUUUGAGAGGAUGAACGGCCACAUUGGGACUGGGACACGGCCCAAACUCCUACGGGAGGCAGCAGUGGGGGAUAUUGCACAAUGGGGGGAACCCUGAUGCAGCGACGCCGCGUGAGUGAAGAAGUAUUUCGGUAUGUAAAGCUCUAUCAGCAGGGAAGAUAAUGACAGUACCUGAAUAAGAAGCCCCGGCUAACUACGUG
Molecule: ribosomal RNA, 478 nt
Filed under: uncultured bacterium
Lineage: Bacteria
Description: partial 16S ribosomal RNA
Rfam family: Bacterial small subunit ribosomal RNA
Source: RNAcentral